GUCUUUGCCAAACUAAAGGCUCUCUCAUUUCUUUCAAUGGCACCAGCAUCUUCAAUCAAAUUCAUUGAUACUGCACUUUCUUGUACCAGCCCUUAUGCACUAUCCUACCCAGACCCUAAACAAAAAUGGCUAAUCAGAAAACACCUUCUUUCACUAAUCCAGGACUAUCCAAUUUUCACACCUUCCACCGAUACAUUCACCCACAACGAUGGCACCAGCGUGAACCUUCUGAACGCCACCGGCAAUCUCCGGGUCUCCAGGUAUACCCCUCCUAUACCUCUCACCAUUUGGGUUCAUGAAAACUACCCUUACAUGCCUCCUUUGGUCUUUGUAUUGGCAAAUUCGAUGACUCCAAUUCAUCGAGACCACCCUUUUGUUGACCUUUCUGGUUCUACCUCUUCUCCUUAUCUCCAAACUUGGCUAUUCCCUCGAUGCAACCUCACCAACCUUGUUCGUAAGCUUGUCAAGAUUUUCACUCAUGACCAUCCUUUCAUUUAUAAUUCCCCUGUUGCAGGUUUCUCUCACCCCUCCCUUGUCUCAAGGAUGGAGGCUCUUGAUCGUCUUUCGGGCAUGCUUCAUUAUGAUAUGAUGGCCUUUUUGGCCAAAAAUGAAGAGGAAGUGGAGAACUUGUCUAAGUUGCAGGAAGAAUUGAUCAAGCGAGAUACUAUAAUUAGAAAUAUGAUCAGUAGUCUUGAACAAGAAAGGUCCAGCCUUAAGGACAAUGUAACGAAGCUGACGGAUGAAGCUGAUGUGGUAAUGAACUGGUUGAGAGUCAAUGAUGCGAACUCAGUUGCAGUGGGAGGAGAUGAAAUGGAAGAGGCAUUUGAAGCUGCAGAUGAAGAAUCAAAAUUGAAGAUUGAAUGUUUGAGUGGAGAUCGGGCCAUAGAGGAUUUGAUAUAUGCAUUGGACAAGGCAGUCGAGGAAGGGACAGUGCCUUUUGAUGCAUACAUUAAGCAAGUGAGAGCGUUGGCAAGAGAGCAGUUCUACAGUAGAGCUAUGCUUGUAGAACUAGCAAAAGGUCGUCACCUUUUCAGUUGGUCCGCCUGAUAUGCAAACAACUGCUGAUCAUCAAUGGUGUACAUUGGCCAGCACAACCCUUGAAACGAUCAUCAAGAAUUCCUAAACUUUUUAUUUUAUUUUAAUUCUCAUGCCUCACCUUGUUUCCGAGGUCAUCAGGAUAAGAUAUGAAAUGUAGAAAAUCAACCGUUUAAAAUCAAAUAAGAUAUAUGAAUUCUUGUUUGAUAAGGUUGUUUGAUCUGUGCCUUAUUGAAUACUGGAAAUUAU
This 1284-nucleotide unclassified non-coding RNA is filed under the name Hevea brasiliensis (rubber tree). The record is from RNAcentral. Lineage: Eukaryota; Viridiplantae; Streptophyta; Magnoliopsida; Malpighiales; Euphorbiaceae.